AUGGCAGCAACCAUAAGGGCGAUAGCGAAUAAGCUCACCACAUUAAGGUGCAACAUAACCACAUCACGGAAUGUUGGCAACCGCUUCAACCCAGACCAAAAUCCCAAAACACGGAAAUGCAUGGCAAUCGAACCGCUUCAACCCAGACCAAAAUCCCAAAACACGGAAAUGCAUGGCAAUCGAACCGCUUCAACCCAGACCAAAAUCCCAAAACACGGAAAUGCAUGGCAAUCGAACCGCUUCAACCCAGACCAAAAUCCCAAAACGCGGAAAUGCACCCUGCUAUUAUGUGGACAACAAUACACACUGCAGAACAUGGCCCAGAUCACAGAUGCAGGGGGAACAAAAUCCAUGCAAGGUCAAGGGUUCGAUCCCAAGUUUAUCCACCAUUUUAUGAAUAUUUCUUUGGUUUUUAUAAAAGACCAAUGCAUCUUUAAAAAACCCAGACAAGGCAUCGUUUCAUGA
RNAcentral lists this ribosomal RNA (465 nucleotides) under Triticum aestivum (bread wheat). RNAcentral's name for it is "partial small subunit ribosomal RNA". The record is from RNAcentral. Lineage: Eukaryota; Viridiplantae; Streptophyta; Magnoliopsida; Poales; Poaceae.